Non-coding RNA from Choloepus hoffmanni (Hoffmann's two-fingered sloth), 161 nucleotides. NCBI's taxonomy places the organism in Eukaryota, Metazoa, Chordata, Mammalia, Pilosa, Megalonychidae. The record is from Rfam.
CCGCAUUCGUCAUGGCGAUCAGAUGGCACCAGGAGAAAUAGAGCCCCUGGCCAGUGUCCUGAGUCGUAGCAGUGCAGGAGGGGAGCCCUGAAGGAGAGAGCCUGCCUAAAUCGAUGCCUGCAGAUUCAGUUUGCAGAGGCUUAGGAGGAGGAAGCUCUCCA